UACGUAGGGUGCAAGCGUUAAUCGGAAUUACUGGGCGUAAAGCGUGCGCAGGCGGUUUUGUAAGUCUGUCGUGAAAUCCCCGGGCUCAACCUGGGAAUGGCGAUGGAGACUGCAAGGCUAGAGUUUGGCAGAGGGGGGUAGAAUUCCACGUGUAGCAGUGAAAUGCGUAGAUAUGAUGGAGGAACACCGAUGGCGAAGGCAGCCCCCUGGGUCAAAACUGACGCUCAUGCACGAAAGCGUGGGGAGCAAACAGG
Molecule: ribosomal RNA, 254 nt
Filed under: uncultured bacterium
Lineage: Bacteria
Description: partial 16S ribosomal RNA
Rfam family: Bacterial small subunit ribosomal RNA
Source: RNAcentral